Molecule: small nuclear RNA, 165 nt
Filed under: Castor canadensis (American beaver)
Lineage: Eukaryota; Metazoa; Chordata; Mammalia; Rodentia; Castoridae
Description: U1 spliceosomal RNA (ENSCCNG00000011685.1)
Rfam family: U1 spliceosomal RNA
About the family: U1 is a small nuclear RNA (snRNA) component of the spliceosome (involved in pre-mRNA splicing). Its 5' end forms complementary base pairs with the 5' splice junction, thus defining the 5' donor site of an intron.
Source: Rfam by way of RNAcentral
AUAUUUACCUGGCAAGGGAGAUACCAUGAUCACGAAGGUAGUUUUCCCAGGGCGAGGCUUAUCCAUUGCACUCCGAAUGUGCUGACCCCUGCGAUUUCCCCAAAUGUGGGAAACUCAAAUACAUAAUUUGUGGUAGUGGGGGGACUACGUUAGCGCUCUCCCCUA